This 443-nucleotide ribosomal RNA is filed under the name uncultured Bacillota bacterium. RNAcentral's name for it is "bacterial SSU rRNA". It matches the Rfam family "Bacterial small subunit ribosomal RNA", at positions 338 to 795 of the family's 1533-position model. Lineage: Bacteria; Bacillati; Bacillota. The record is from RNAcentral.
CCUACGGGGGGCUGCAGUGGGGAAUAUUGGGCAAUGGGCGAAAGCCUGACCCAGCAACGCCGCGUGAAGGAAGAAGGUCUUCGGAUUGUAAACUUCUGUUAUAGGGGAAAAAGAAAGUGAUGGUACCCUAUGAGAAAGCCAUGGCAAACUACGUGCCAGCAGCCGCGGUAAAACGUAGGUGGCAAGCGUUAUCCGGAAUUACUGGGCGUAAAGAGAGUGUAGGUGGUUAUAUAAGUCACAUGUGAAAUACCAAGGCUUAACUUUGGAAGAGCAUGUGAUACUGUGUAACUAGAGUGCAGGAGAGGUGAGUGGAAUUCCUAGUGUAGCGGUAGAAUGCGUAGAGAUUAGGAAGAACACCGGAGGCGAAGGCGACUCACUGGACUGUAACUGACACUGAGACUCGAAAGCGUGGGGAGCAAACAGGAUUAGAUACCCCAGUAGUC